UAUCAAAAGAACAAUUUAUUCAAAAAUACACAGCAUUUCAUACUCUUCAGAAAUAUUACAUUAUUCAAAACUGAUGAACCCAAAAGAUAAUUUAAAAACUCUUCAU
Populus euphratica (Euphrates poplar) is the source of this 106-nucleotide long non-coding RNA. RefSeq lists it as uncharacterized. The record is from RefSeq and is a predicted model, not a curated record. The transcript has 3 exons. Lineage: Eukaryota; Viridiplantae; Streptophyta; Magnoliopsida; Malpighiales; Salicaceae.